RNAcentral lists this ribosomal RNA (497 nucleotides) under uncultured bacterium. Its description in RNAcentral is "partial 16S ribosomal RNA". It matches the Rfam family "Bacterial small subunit ribosomal RNA", at positions 28 to 507 of the family's 1533-position model. The record is from RNAcentral.
GAUGAACGCUGGCGGCGUGCCUAAUACAUGCAAGUCGAGCGAACGGACGAGAAGCUUGCUUUUCUGAUGCUAGCGGCGGACGGGUGAGUAACACGUGGAUAACCUACCUAUAAGACUGGGAUAACUUCGGGAAACCGGAGCUAAUACCGGAUAAUAUUUUGAACCGCAUGGUUCAAAAGUGAAAGACGGUCUUGCUGUCACUUAUAGAUGGAUCCGCGCUGCAUUAGCUAGUUGGUAAGGUAACGGCUUACCAAGGCAACGAUGCAUAGCCGACCUGAGAGGGUGAUCGGCCACACUGGAACUGAGACACGGUCCAGACUCCUACGGGAGGCAGCAGUAGGGAAUCUUCCGCAAUAGGCGAAAGCCUGACGGAGCAACGCCGCGUGAGUGAUGAAGGUCUUCGGAUCGUAAAACUCUGUUAUUAGGGAAGAACAUAUGUGUAAGUAACUGUGCACAUCUUGACGGUACCUAAUCAGAAAGCCACGGCUAACUACGUG